GGCCACUUGGAGUCCAAAGCCACAG
This 25-nucleotide non-coding RNA is filed under the name Mus musculus (house mouse). The record is from RNAcentral. RNAcentral also lists the same sequence under 1 other name. Lineage: Eukaryota; Metazoa; Chordata; Mammalia; Rodentia; Muridae.